GGAGUCUUACGGGUGAUCGCCGGGAUGGAAAAACUAUCCGGGAGGAAAGUCCGAACACCACAGGGCAGGAUGCUCCAUAACGUGGAGUCGCGGCGACGCGAAGGCAAGUGCAACAGAGAGCAGACCGCCCUGCACUCAUUUCAGGGUACAGACGCUUUAUCAAAGGAAAAUCGCGGGGUUUUGCCCCUUGACCUGAUUUGUAUUUGAAGCGUUUUUACUUUGAAAUGAGUGCAGGGUAAGGGUGAAAGGGUGCGGUAAGAGCGCACCAGUGUUCCGGGUGACCGGGAUAGCUGGGUAAACCCCAUCCGGUGCAAGACCAAAUAGGGAGACGUCAAGGGCGGCCCGUCCGUGUCUCCGGGUAGGUCGCUUGAGGUUUCUGGCAACAGGAAUCCUAGAUGAAUGAUCACCGCUUCCUUCCGGGUAACCGGAAAGAAGAACAGAAUUCGGCUUAUGUAAGGCUCCGAUC
This 466-nucleotide RNase P RNA is filed under the name Desulfococcaceae bacterium OttesenSCG-928-F15. Its description in RNAcentral is "RNase P RNA component class A". It matches the Rfam family "Bacterial RNase P class A". From Rfam's summary of the family: Ribonuclease P (RNase P) is a ubiquitous endoribonuclease, found in archaea, bacteria and eukarya as well as chloroplasts and mitochondria. Its best characterised activity is the generation of mature 5'-ends of tRNAs by cleaving the 5'-leader elements of precursor-tRNAs. Lineage: Bacteria; Pseudomonadati; Thermodesulfobacteriota; Desulfobacteria; Desulfobacterales; Desulfococcaceae. The record is from RNAcentral.